GCCUGGCCCUAAAUCUUGAUGCUCGACAUUACCUGAGCAUCCGCCUGAGAACUACGAGCACAAACGCUUGAAACUCUAAGGACUUGGCGGUGCCCCAAACCCACCUAGAGGAGCCUGUUCUAUAAUCGAUGAUCCACGAUACACCCUACCAUUCCUUGCACAAACCAGCCUAUAUACCGCCGUCGCCAGCCCACCCCUCCUGAGGGCCCAACAGUGGACGCAAUAGCCCCACCCCGCUAACACGACAGGUCAAGGUAUAGCCCAUGGAGUGGCAGUAAUGGGCUACAUUUUCUAAAUUAGAACACACGGCAAGGGGGCAUGAAACUGCCCCCAGAAGGCGGAUUUAGCAGUAAAGUGGGCUAAUCAAACCCUCUUUAAGCCGGCCCUGGGACACGU
Molecule: ribosomal RNA, 396 nt
Filed under: Sittiparus varius
Lineage: Eukaryota; Metazoa; Chordata; Aves; Passeriformes; Paridae
Description: Poecile varius partial 12S ribosomal RNA
Rfam family: Bacterial small subunit ribosomal RNA
Source: RNAcentral